This 447-nucleotide long non-coding RNA is filed under the name Phoenix dactylifera (date palm). RNAcentral describes it as "long non-coding RNA (PDAC_LNC008481)". Lineage: Eukaryota; Viridiplantae; Streptophyta; Magnoliopsida; Arecales; Arecaceae. The record is from RNAcentral.
UGGAAAAAUUAUACGCCACAGAUAAAGUUUCAAUUUUUACAGGAUUUCCAAAGAAAUGCUCGAUUUCUACCUCUAUAGAACAAUACUAGGAAAAUUAAAAAGGACAAAAAGAAAAAAAAUCUAGGGUUCCAGGCCGACUGAUUUGGAUCUGAAGACGACGAUUCGAGGGGAGACUGGAGGGGGUGGGGCAGGCAUGUGUAGGCUUUGAGAAGGGCGAUAUUGCCCUCGUCGAGUGGGCGAGGGUUCCUCUCAUUCUUCUCCUCUUCAAGUUAUGGAGCCAUGGCGGCAAAAAGCAAUGGCGGCGAGACCUCUUUCCCUCGGCUUGUGUUCAUAGCCUAUUUGCUAUAUUCCAUAUUUCAGGCCUUGGUCCACAAGAAACCAAACCAGCCCAGAAGUCGGCAGACUGGUUUUAUACUUAUUUACCCCUUUUUAACUCGUGAGGUUCGG